GAAACGAGCCACCAUAUGUACCAAUAAUACCACCACCAAAAAUCCCUUCUCCUAUUCGCACCCCUCCUAGUGUUCCAUACACUCCACCAAAAGCGCCUUCUCCUGGGAAUGAGCCUCCAUAUGUACCAAUUACACCACCAAAAACACCUUCUCCAAUUCACACUCCUCCAAAAACUCCUUCUCCUGGGAAUGAGCCGCCAUAUAUACCAAUUACACCACCAAAAACACCUCCAAUUCAAACACCUCCUAUUCACACCCCUCCUAGUGUUCCAUACACUCCACCAAAAGCUCCUUCUCCUAGGAAUGAGCCGCCAUAUGUACCAAUUACACCACCAAAAACACCUUCUCCAAUUCACACUCCACCAAAAACUCCUUCUCCUAUUCAUACCCCUCCUAGUGUUCCUUAUAGUCCCCCAAAAGCACCUUCUCCUGGGAACCAACCACCGUAUGUACCGAUUACACCACCAAAAACACCAUCUCCUAUUCACACUCCUCCUAGUGUUCCUUAUACUCCCCCAAAAGCACCUUCUCCUGGGAACCAACCACCGUACGUACCAAUUACACCACCAAAAACACCAUCUCCUAUUCACACUCCUCCUAGUGUUCCUUAUUCUCCUCCAAAAACACCUUCUCCUGGUAAUCAACCACCAUAUGUCCCAAUUACACCACCAAAAAGUCCUUCUCCUAUUCAUACCCCUCCUAAUGUUCCUUAUACUCCACCAGAAACUCCUUCUCCUAGCAAUCAACCACCCUAUGUACCAAUUACACCACCAAAAACCCCUUCUCCUAUACACGCCCCUCCGAAUGUUCCUUAUACUCCUCCAGAAGCUCCUUCCCCUAAAAAUCAACCACCUAAUGUUCCAAUUACACCUCCAAAAACUCAUCCCCCUACUUCCAAUCCCAUUCCUCCUAGUAUUGCUCCUUACACUCCCCCUGAAACUCCAUCCCCUAGAAAUCAACCACCAUAUACGCCAAAUCCUCCUAAAACCCCUUCUCCAAUCUCUCAACCACCCUAUGUACCAAUUACACCACCAAAAUCUCCUUCACCUAUUCACACCCCUCCUAAUGUUCCUUAUACACCUCCAACAACUCCUUCCCCUAGCAACCACCCUCCAAAUGUUCCAACAACACCCUCUCCUAUUUCUCAACCUCCAUAUGUUCCAACACCUCCAAAAACACCUUCUCCGAGUUCUCAAGCACCUUACAUUGAAUCACCUCCCAAUACUCCAAUAGCUCCUUCCCCAAGCAAUCACCCUCCAAAUGUACCAACACCUCCAAAAACUCCUUCUCCCAUUUCUCAAGCCCCUUACAUUCAAACACCACCAAACACACCUUCACCAACAUCACAACCACCAUACACUCAAACUCCUCGAAGCACUCCUUCUUCACCAACAUCGCAACCAC
Molecule: long non-coding RNA, 1404 nt
Filed under: Trifolium pratense (red clover)
Lineage: Eukaryota; Viridiplantae; Streptophyta; Magnoliopsida; Fabales; Fabaceae
Description: long non-coding RNA (TPRA_LNC003794)
Source: RNAcentral